AGUGAACGCUGGCGGUAGGCCUAACACAUGCACGUCGAACGGCAGCACAGUAAGAGCUUGCUCUUACGGGUGGCGAGUGGCGGACGGGUGAGGAAUAUAUCGGAAUCUACUUUUUCGUGGGGGAUAACGUAGGGAAACUUACGCUAAUACCGCAUACGACCUACAGGUGAAAGCAGGGGAUCUUCGGACCUUACGCGAUUGAAUGAGCCGAUGUCGGAUUAGCUAGUUGGCGGGGUAAAGGCCCACCAAGGCGACGAUCCGUAGCUGGUCUGAGAGGAUGAUCAGCCACACUGGAACUGAGACACGGUCCAGACUCCUACGGGAGGCAGCAGUGGGGAAUAUUGGACAAUGGGCGCAAGCCUGAUCCAGCCAUACCGCGUGGGUGAAGAAGGCCUUCGGGUUGUAAAGCCCUUUUGUUGGGAAAGAAAAGCAGCAGGUUAAUACCCCGCUGUUCUGACGGUACCCAAAGAAUAAACACCGGCUAACUUCGUG
RNAcentral lists this ribosomal RNA (492 nucleotides) under uncultured bacterium. RNAcentral's name for it is "partial 16S ribosomal RNA". It matches the Rfam family "Bacterial small subunit ribosomal RNA", at positions 29 to 507 of the family's 1533-position model. The record is from RNAcentral.